This 253-nucleotide ribosomal RNA is filed under the name uncultured bacterium. RNAcentral's name for it is "partial 16S ribosomal RNA". It matches the Rfam family "Bacterial small subunit ribosomal RNA", at positions 524 to 776 of the family's 1533-position model. The record is from RNAcentral.
UACAGAGGUCUCAAGCGUUGUUCGGAUUCAUUGGGCGUAAAGGGUGCGUAGGCGGCGCGGUAAGUCGGGUGUGAAAUUUCGAGGCUUAACUUCGAAACUGCAUUCGAUACUGCCGUGCUAGAGGACUGGAGAGGAGACUGGAAUUCAUGGUGUAGCAGUGAAAUGCGUAGAGAUCAUGAGGAAGACCAGUGGCGAAGGCGGGUCUCUGGACAGUUCCUGACACUGAGGCACGAAGGCCAGGGGAGCAAACGGG